GGAUUUGUAGCUUAGUGGUAGAGAACUUGCCUAGCAUGUAAGAGGCCUUGGGUUUGACCCCCACUACCA
Molecule: transfer RNA, 69 nt
Filed under: Marmota marmota marmota (Alpine marmot)
Lineage: Eukaryota; Metazoa; Chordata; Mammalia; Rodentia; Sciuridae
Also listed under: 2 other names
Rfam family: tRNA
About the family: Transfer RNA (tRNA) molecules are approximately 80 nucleotides in length. Their secondary structure includes four short double-helical elements and three loops (D, anti-codon, and T loops). Further hydrogen bonds mediate the characteristic L-shaped molecular structure. tRNAs have two regions of fundamental functional importance: the anti-codon, which is responsible for specific mRNA codon recognition, and the 3' end, to which the tRNAs corresponding amino acid is attached (by aminoacyl-tRNA synthetases). tRNAs cope with the degeneracy of the genetic code in two manners: having more than one tRNA (with a specific anti-codon) for a particular amino acid; and 'wobble' base-pairing, i.e. permitting non-standard base-pairing at the 3rd anti-codon position.
Source: Rfam by way of RNAcentral